This 650-nucleotide ribosomal RNA is filed under the name Salmonella enterica subsp. enterica serovar Dublin. RNAcentral's name for it is "partial 23S ribosomal RNA". It matches the Rfam family "Bacterial large subunit ribosomal RNA", at positions 570 to 1221 of the family's 2925-position model. The record is from RNAcentral. Lineage: Bacteria; Pseudomonadati; Pseudomonadota; Gammaproteobacteria; Enterobacterales; Enterobacteriaceae.
GCAGAGGGGGCUUAGUGGUGGGGUGACUGCGUACCUUUUGUAUAAUGGGUCAGCGACUUAUAUUCUGUAGCAAGGUUAACCGAAUAGGGGAGCCGGAGGGAAACCGAGUCUUAACCGGGCGUUAAGUUGCAGGGUAUAGACCCGAAACCCGGUGAUCUAGCCAUGGGCAGGUUGAAGGUUGGGUAACACUAACUGGAGGACCGAACCGACUAAUGUUGAAAAAUUAGCGGAUGACCUGUGGCUGGGGGUGAAAGGCCAAUCAAACCGGGAGAUAGCUGGUUCUCCCCGAAAGCUAUUUAGGUAGCGCCUCGUGAAUUCAUCUCCGGGGGUAGAGCACUGUUUCGGCUAGGGGGCCAUCCCGGCUUACCAACCCGAUGCAAACUGCGAAUACCGGAGAAUGUUAUCACGGGAGACACACGGCGGGUGCUAACGUCCGUCGUGAAGAGGGAAACAACCCAGACCGCCAGCUAAGGUCCCAAAGUCAUGGUUAAGUGGGAAACGAUGUGGGAAGGCCCAGACAGCCAGGAUGUUGGCUUAGAAGCAGCCAUCAUUUAAAGAAAGCGUAAUAGCUCACUGGUCGAGUCGGCCUGCGCGGAAGAUGUAACGGGGCUAAACCAUGCACCGAAGCUGCGGCAGCGACGCUUAUGCGU